RNAcentral lists this ribosomal RNA (293 nucleotides) under uncultured bacterium. Its description in RNAcentral is "partial 16S ribosomal RNA". It matches the Rfam family "Bacterial small subunit ribosomal RNA", at positions 28 to 334 of the family's 1533-position model. The record is from RNAcentral.
GAUGAACGCUGGCGGCAUGUCUAAGGCAUGCAAGUCGAACGAUCUCUUCGGAGAGAGUGGCAAACGGGAGAGGAACACAUUGGUAACCUACCUCUGUCACAGGGAAAACCUCGGGAAACCGGAGCUAAUCCCUGAUGGUCUCCGUGUACAUAAGUGCACGGCGUAAAGGUCCGCCGGACAGAGAGGGGCCUAUGGCGUAUCAGCUUGUUGGUGGGGUAAAAGCUCACCAAGGCUUUGACGCGUACCGGGUGUGAGAGCAUGGCCCGGCUCACGGGAACUGAGACACUGUCCUG